Triticum aestivum (bread wheat) is the source of this 115-nucleotide non-coding RNA. NCBI's taxonomy places the organism in Eukaryota, Viridiplantae, Streptophyta, Magnoliopsida, Poales, Poaceae. The record is from Rfam.
UAUAUACUCCCUCCGUUCCGAAUUAUUUGUCGCGAGUAUGGAUGUAUCUAGAUGUAUUUUAGUUCUAGAUAUAUACAUUUCUGUGAAGAGUAAUUUGGAACGGAGGGAGUACGUC